Molecule: ribosomal RNA, 443 nt
Filed under: uncultured bacterium
Lineage: Bacteria
Description: partial 16S ribosomal RNA
Rfam family: Bacterial small subunit ribosomal RNA
Source: RNAcentral
CCUACGGGUGGCAGCAGUGGGGGAUAUUGGACAAUGGGGGGAACCCUGAUCCAGCGACGCCGCGUGAGUGAAGAAGUACUUCGGUAUGUAACGCCCUGUCAGCCGGGAAGAAAGAACUGACGGUACUUGACCAAGAAGCCCCGGCUAACUACGUGCCAGCAGCCGCGGGAAUACGUGGGGGGCACGUGUUAUCCGGAAUUACUGGGUGAAAAGGGAGUGUCGACGGUUAAGUAAGUGUGGAGUGAAAGGCCGGGGCCCAACCCCGGGACUGCUCUGGAAACUCUUGAACUUGAGUGCAGGAGAGGUAAGCGGAAUUCGUGGUGUAGCGGUGAAAUGCGUAGAUAUUAGGAGGAACACCAGUGGCGAAGGCGGCUUACUGGACUGUAACUGACGUUGAGGCUCGAAAGCGUGGGGAGCAAACAGGAUUAGAUACCCCUGUAGUC